Molecule: RNase P RNA, 292 nt
Filed under: Lasius niger
Lineage: Eukaryota; Metazoa; Arthropoda; Insecta; Hymenoptera; Formicidae
Description: Nuclear RNase P
Rfam family: Nuclear RNase P
About the family: Ribonuclease P (RNase P) is a ubiquitous endoribonuclease, found in archaea, bacteria and eukarya as well as chloroplasts and mitochondria. Its best characterised activity is the generation of mature 5'-ends of tRNAs by cleaving the 5'-leader elements of precursor-tRNAs.
Source: Rfam by way of RNAcentral
GCAGUUUUAAUCUAAUGGAAGGGGGUGAACAAACGAAGCAUAACAUUGCUAUAUUACAUCCCGGGAAGGUCUGAGAUAAGAUCGUUAAACGUUCUAGACGGACGGUAUCGCAAUGAUACGUACGAGAACCAGAAAUAGCUUUACGUUCUCCAAAAUGCCAGGGACGCUUUUUUAACAGCAGAGGCGACUGGAAACGAAAAGUUGGAAUCUCGUACGAUCCGCUUUUUUAGUAUAAUCCACAAGCCUGGUAUAAUUCAUACCUGGAACUCAAUUCAGACUAAUCUGAUGCUGU